This 867-nucleotide ribosomal RNA is filed under the name Triticum aestivum (bread wheat). Its description in RNAcentral is "partial small subunit ribosomal RNA". The record is from RNAcentral. Lineage: Eukaryota; Viridiplantae; Streptophyta; Magnoliopsida; Poales; Poaceae.
AUGGAUCUUGACAAGACGAACACGGUGGGCAGCGACGGUGCGGCGAAGGGGCAGGACCUAGAGCAGGCUCGCCGCGGCCAGGAGCUUCCCCCGCCUGCCGGCCAUGCCACCAAGGGCCUCGCCGUCGGCCACCUCAUCCGGGAGCUGGUGCUAGAGGGCGUGGCGACGUUCCUGGUGGUGUUCUGGUCGUGCGUGGCGGCGCUGAUGCAGGAGAUGCACCACAGCCUGACCUUCCCCACGGUCUGCCUCGUCGUCGCCCUCACCGUCGCCUUCGUGCUCGGCUGGAUGGGCCCCGCGCACCUCAACCCCGCCGUCACCUUCACCUUCGCCGCCUUCCGCUACUUCCCAUGGCGCAAGCUGCCGCUCUACGUCGCCACGCAGAUCGCCGCCUCCGUGCUCGCCUGCCUCUCCGUCAACGCCAUCAUGAGCCCGCACGACGACAACUUCUACGGCACCGUGCCGAGGCCGCCAGGGGCCGGCGCCCGGCUGCCGUUCCUCCUCGAGCUCCUCGCCUCCGCCGUGCUCAUGAUCGUCGUCUCCACCGUCGCCAUGAGCAACGCCAGCAAGGCGGUGGUAGGGAUCGCCAUCGGGGCGGCGGUCGGGACGCUGGGGCUGGUCAUCGGGCCCGUGUCGGGAGGCUCGAUGAACCCGGCGAGGAGCCUGGGCCCGGCGAUCGUCUUCGGCCGCUACACCUCCAUCUGGAUCUACGUCACUGCGCCCGUCGCCGGCAUGCUGCUCGGCGCGCUCUUCAACAAGGGCGUCCGGCAGUCCGACGCGAUCGUGGGCUUCCUCUGCGGCGGCAGGGGCGCGUCCAGCAGGGUGGUCGUCGUCGGUCGCUCCGUCACAGGAGCGCCUGGAACGAACUAG